RNAcentral lists this ribosomal RNA (230 nucleotides) under uncultured soil bacterium. RNAcentral's name for it is "partial 16S ribosomal RNA". It matches the Rfam family "Bacterial small subunit ribosomal RNA", at positions 26 to 285 of the family's 1533-position model. The record is from RNAcentral.
AGAACGAACGCUGGCGGCAUGCCUAACACAUGCAAGUCGAACGAGACCUUCGGGUCUAGUGGCGCACGGGUGCGUAACGCGUGGGAACCUGCCUUGAGGUUCGGAAUAACUCCCCGAAAGGGGUGCUAAUACCGGAUGAUGUCUUCGGACCAAAGAUUUAUCGCCUUUAGAUGGGCCCGCGUUGGAUUAGCUAGUUGGUGGGUAAAGGCCUACCAAGGCGACGAUCCGAU